GAAGCUACUGUAAUGCUUUCAAAUAUAUGCAAAUGAUACAUGCGGUUAGUGGUUUGGCAAAUCUUGAUUACAAUAUAAACUACCCAAGUAAAAGUGCCUUCGUCCUAAAUUUGUCUCUCGAUUACAAUUCCAAUUGAUUUUAUUUUAUUGUCAACAUUGUUAAUGAUAAAAAUAGAGUCGUUUUACAGUUAUUUUUACUUUCUGGAAGGAGGCAAUUAGAGUUCUAAUCAGGAAUACACAAAAAUCUCCCAUGAUUAACUGCAGUACUUUGUUCAAAUUGCUGCUAUAAAAUUCAGAACAAUUUGCCUGUAAUGAUUAUGGACUGGGUUUAUUUUGGGAGGUGGAAUAAAAGUGGAUAUAGCAUAAAUUAUCCUCUAAUUAUACACCAGUGUCGCCUCAAUUAUCCUCUUAUCAAAAUGGUUGUCUAACUGCCGCAUUUAGUUUCAAUUCUCUCCUUUUUUUCUAUAAAAAGAACUUCAUACCUUGUUAUUAUUAAUCCAUUUAUUAUUUGCAAGGGGAUUUAUAUCCGCACAUCCAGGUGGUAGAACCACUUCUCUUUCAAAGAUGGACUGGGGAAAGACAUUAAGUUCGGAGCAGCCCAAGGCUGCGGAUCUAGCCUUUCUCCCUCCGGUCUCCAGACCCACGCAGGUUAAGGCAGCCAAGCAGAGACAGCGGAGCCCCGGUGCGUGGUUCAGGCCUGGUCAACAGGUAGGAGGGCCAGACUGGGGGCCAGGCACAGAGGAGGGCAGGCCCGCCCGCACCGGCGUCCAGGGUCCCGGGUUCCGGGUCCCGGGACUGGAGGAGGUCGCCGGCAGCCCGCCCUUCCAGAGGCUUGAGAUUGGGUGGACGAGACCUGAAGAUCCUCUCGGUCUGGACCCCGACUUUCGAUCUGCUUAGAGACCUAAGCCGCGAGCCUUUGCCCACACGGAGAAACGUACUAUCUAAUAUCUAACAACCCUGUACUGCAGUGUCUGGAGGUUGCGGGAAGGAGACAGUGUCUCCCUUUGGGAAAACUACUGAGGACUUCUGUAUAUCCUACUUCUUCUGGACUCCAUAAGUUACAGGACCGAAGGAAACUGAGAAAUAGAGAAAAGGUGCCGCUUGCCCCUUUAACUCCAGAAAAGGGUGGCUGCAGAUGGAGCAGCUUGGACUUUAUUUUUUACGUUGCGCGAAGCCCGCCGGCAGCGGCUUAUGCCAAUUGAUUUUCCCAGCUCCCAGCCCUGGAUGUCUAGCUAUCUCCAGGACAGUUUGUUUUUUUCUUUUUCUGUCUUUCUUUCUUUCCUUCAAUGUAUCAGAAGACCUGAAGCUCGCUGCCCGCGAGUUUCCUCCGAGUUCCCAGGUCAGCGGCGUUUGCGCUCCUCUCCCCCUCCUUUUCCCAGCCCGUUGCGCUUAAGUUCUUGAGUCUGGGGAGCCGGUUCAGUAACUCUGAAUUCAUUUUUAAGUGGCGUGCCCUGUUCCCCACCUUUUAACAAGAGGUGCACUUUAACACGCGAACCAGUAACACGAUCUACACGUUUACAAAUCGGCAAUGAAUUAAAACAACAACAGAAAAGCUUCAUGGAAAAAGAAAGACAGAGUCUUGCUCUAUUGCCCAGGCUGCAACUGGUGUGAUCUCGGCUCACUACAACCUCUGCCUCCUGGGUUCAAGCGAUUCUCCUGCCUCAAGCUCCCAAGUAGCUGGGAUUACAAGCAUGCACCACCAUGCCUGGCUAAUUUUUGUAUUUUUAGUGGAGACGGGGUUUCGCCACAUUGGCCAGGGUGGUCUUGAACUCCUGACCUCAAGUGAUCCACCUGCCUUGGCCUCCCAAAGUGCUGGGAUUAUAAGCAUGAGCCACUGCACCCAGCCUUAUACUGAACUUUCAAUGGGUUCAAUUCCACUAGGAGCAUAAAGGCCACUGCAUAUGAGUUGUGGAAAGAAGAGAUUAGAAGAAGGAAGAACUUGAGAUGAGUUCCUCCCUUCAACAUUCUGUCUCCUCCUACCUAGCAUCUUCUUUCUUUUAGUCUUUCUAGAAUGUCCAUCUGUUUUUGGCCAUUGCGGAGAGAGAAGCUGAGCUUUAAAGGAGUAGGAGCUUCAAAGGCGUAGGAGCUUCAAAAUUCUUGUUUCUUCAUGUUUGAUCACCCUUCUAAACCUGUCUUCUGUUCCUUCUGCUAUUCUUUUUUCUUAGAGCAUAGGAAAGGGGAGCUUUUAAAUUAAUACUUAAAGCAUGGAAAAAAAGAACUUGAGAAGAAAGUAAAACAAGGGAGAUGAGGCUAGUAAAGUAAGGAAAAUGAAGAGGAAGAGGAGGAAGGGUUAGCUUCUAAAUUCCAAGUCAAAUUGAUAUGGAACAGGCAAGCCGCUUGUCUUACUUAAACUUCAGAAAAGGAUCUGCUGAAACUUGAUAGAAAUGGAAAGGGAAAUCCUUGGGGUGGGGAACCUCCAAACAUUAGUAAUGAUAUUGAACAACUCAAAGUAUUGAGGAAAUCUGCAGGCUACAUGCCUGAAGAUUACCCAUGCAGAUAGACCAAAAGGAUUAGAAUUAUCUGUUGAUAUUAGUAAUAUUUAUUGACAUCUAGCUAGUAUUGGUAAUUUUAAGUUUUAGAUUAAUUUCUUUGGUAAUAGCUAUGAUAUAUUUUAUAGACAAGAAUUAUAUCUAUAGGCUUGCUAUCAUAGGCUCUUUUAAUCAGCAUUAAUUUAGUCUACUGAUUUUUAGCACAUUUGAAUCAUUCACUUAUGCUAGGUAACUCAUUGCAAAAUAAAAAGAUGAUUCCUGUAUGUAUGGCAGCUAUACAUUAAGGAGGAGUCUACCAGAAUAUGAAAAAGUCAGCUGACCUAAAUAUUGCUGAGACAAAGGAAAACCCACUCCCUUGGAGGAGCAUGACCUUUUCCUGUAAUUCUUCCCACUGCUGUUGUUGAGCUCCUUGGAUCCUGGCUCCUGGACACCAUCAUCAAGAAGACUUUAUGGAUGGGCUGUCCACCCACUGAGAGAAGAGGAGCAUCAGCUACAGUUUCUCUCUAGAUUGCCUUCUUCAUUUUGAGUAAUGACUGUCAGCAGGGUCAGAUUAAACACAAAACAACUGGACAAUUGCUUGGAGGACUAAACUAUAAGGGCACUAACAUGUCAAUAGUAGGCUAACACAUCCAUGGAAAAUAUAUUUACCAGCUCUUCUCUCAGGGAGGAUUCUGUGUGGGGUUGGAAGUAAUGAUUUGUUAAAUUCCUUAGGGGUAGAAAGUAGGGCAUAAUCAGAAUAUAGAGGAAUAUGCUGUUUGACUUCAGGGUUUCUGUUUUUCUUACUAGGAUAUAUAAAACAGGGACUCUAGCUAGAUUGUUUAUGACCACAGAGGGUAGGCUGAGUGCUCCCAUGAUCUUCCUGCUUGGUUCUUGCCCAUACAGAGGUCAGCCUUUCCUCUAAUAAAGAUUGAACAAGUAGUGGUCUGAGGG
Molecule: long non-coding RNA, 3419 nt
Filed under: Homo sapiens (human)
Lineage: Eukaryota; Metazoa; Chordata; Mammalia; Primates; Hominidae
Description: HSALNT0342174
Source: RNAcentral